Aplysia californica (California sea hare) is the source of this 452-nucleotide long non-coding RNA. RefSeq lists it as uncharacterized. NCBI's taxonomy places the organism in Eukaryota, Metazoa, Mollusca, Gastropoda, Aplysiida, Aplysiidae. The record is from RefSeq and is a predicted model, not a curated record. The transcript has 2 exons.
GCAAGAACUAUUUUAUCGAGUACAUUGCGUAGUGUACGGUUAUCUUACCCCUUGAGUUUUUCCUGACACGCAUGUGCCGUAUAGAACGAGAGAGAACUCUGUGCCCUGUGAAACGUACGCGCAUUGUCCGUUUGGCUCGCGGAGGCCUGAGAACCGAGAUCUCCCGCCAACAGCUUGAGUCAACAGGUGGGCGCCCUAGUGUCGGCGAAUCAAAGGCGAACUGGGUCAUCUCAAUUUAGUCAUCGCGCUCAAAAACACACACAGGGAUCACGUCCAUCAAGGUUGUCUUGGUUCGCAAGAAAAUGGAGAAAUCAAAACCGGUAAAAGGCUGGCUGUCCUUUUUGACCUGGAUCGUGAAACAUUUAUGCUGCAUCUCGUGUUAUGUCGCAACUUUUGAAAGUUUAAUUUAAACGGGAAAAUAUGUACAAUAAUAAAUGUACUAAGUAUACUGC